RNAcentral lists this ribosomal RNA (407 nucleotides) under Calycofera operculata. Its description in RNAcentral is "partial small subunit ribosomal RNA". It matches the Rfam family "Eukaryotic small subunit ribosomal RNA", at positions 30 to 432 of the family's 1831-position model. Lineage: Eukaryota; Oomycota; Peronosporomycetes; Peronosporales; Peronosporaceae. The record is from RNAcentral.
GCUUGUCUCAAAGAUUAAGCCAUGCAUGUCUAAGUAUAAACAACUUUGUACUGUGAAACUGCGAAUGGCUCAUUAUAUCAGUUAUAGUCUACUCGAUAGUACCUUACUACUUGGAUAACCGUAGUAAUUCUAGAGCUAAUACAUGCGUAAAUACCCAACUGCUUGUCGGACGGGUAGCAUUUAUUAGAUUGAAACCAAUGCAGCUUCGGCUGGUAUUGUGUUGAGUCAUAAUAACUGAGCGAAUCGCAUGGCCUUGUGCCGGCGAUGGUUCAUUCAAGUUUCUGCCCUAUCAGCUUUCGAUGGUAGGGUAUUGGCCUACCAUGGCGUUAACGGGUAACGGAGAAUUAGGGUUCGAUUCCGGAGAGGGAGCCUGAGAAACGGCUACCACAUCCAAGGAAGGCAGCAGG